GUGGGGAAUUUUGGACAAUGGGCGCAAGCCUGAUCCAGCCAUGCCGCGUGAGGGAAGAAGGCCUUCGGGUUGUAAACCUCUUUCGGCCGGGACGAAAUCGCUCAGGUGAAUAAUCUGGGUGGAUGACGGUACCGGAAGAAGAAGCACCGGCUAACUACGUGCCAGCAGCCGCGGUAAUACGUAGGGUGCGAGCGUUAAUCGGAAUUACUGGGCGUAAAGCGUGCGCAGGCGGAGGCCUAAGCCAGACGUGAAAUCCCCGAGCUUAACUUGGGAAUGGCGUUUGGGACUGGGUCACUGGAGUGCGGCAGAGGGAACUGGAAUUCCAGGUGUAGCAGUGAAAUGCGUAGAUAUCUGGAGGAACACCGAUGGCGAAGGCAGGUUCCUGGGCCAGCACUGACGCUCAUGCACGAAAGCGUGGGGAGCAAACAGGAUUAGAAACCCGAGUAGUCC
RNAcentral lists this ribosomal RNA (450 nucleotides) under uncultured bacterium. RNAcentral's name for it is "bacterial SSU rRNA". It matches the Rfam family "Bacterial small subunit ribosomal RNA", at positions 354 to 796 of the family's 1533-position model. The record is from RNAcentral.